Herpailurus yagouaroundi (jaguarundi) is the source of this 752-nucleotide long non-coding RNA. RefSeq lists it as uncharacterized. Lineage: Eukaryota; Metazoa; Chordata; Mammalia; Carnivora; Felidae. The record is from RefSeq and is a predicted model, not a curated record. The transcript has 2 exons.
GAUGCUGGCCAAUGGACCAUGAAUAUGCUGGAAUGUCUAUUUUUCUAGAACUUGGCGAAACUGUGUUUUACUGCAGGCUUUGCCGCCAGAUACAAAAAGGCAUACAGCUGUCACAAGGAGGGCACUGCACACAAAGUCUCAGCUGUAAACACCACUUCAAAAUAUAAACUCGCUCUUUGGAAUACACUGUGUCAAAGGCUUCCCAUAUGAAUACCGUUGUUAUAAAACGGCGACAUUUCCUUUGACAAGCAGACAAAACGCACCCGUUAUCUUACACACAUUUCCAUCUCCUUGUAGCAAUUCCCAUCUCUACCUGCGCUACUCUCAUCCACCCAUACAGGCACAGGCCACUUCUAUUCCUUCACAAGGGCGGAGGAGACUGGGCUUGGGCCGUGUGACUUGCAUGGCCAUCAGCAAACAUGGUGCGGAGACUUGAUAGGUGAUGUACAAAAGUGAGCCCUUCCUCCUUGGAACCCAGCUGCCAUGCUUUAAGAAAGCCAGUCUAACCGGCUAGCAGAUGAGAAACUACGCACUCUCGCUGACCAACGCCAACUUCCGGAAAUGUGAAUGAAACCGUCUUGGAUGUUUCUAUUUCGGCCCCAGUAGAGCUCCCAUCUGUUUGCAGCCGCUGAAUGAGCGACCCAGGUGAAUGAAUGACCUUGGUCAAUAUCGCCAGGAGGAGGGAAACCACCCAGCCGAGCGCAGAUAGUACACAGAAUCGUGGCACAUAAUAAAUGGUUAUUGUUUGGAGA